Molecule: ribosomal RNA, 305 nt
Filed under: uncultured bacterium
Lineage: Bacteria
Description: bacterial SSU rRNA
Rfam family: Bacterial small subunit ribosomal RNA
Source: RNAcentral
UGUACCUACGGGACGCAGCAGUGGGGGAUAUUGCACAAUGGGGGGAACCCUGAUGCAGCGACGCCGCGUGGGUGAAGAAGCGCCUCGGCGCGUAAAGCCCUGUCAGCAGGGAAGAAAAUGACGGUACCUGAAGAAGAAGCCCCGGCUAACUACGUGCCAGCAGCCGCGGUAAUACGUAAGGGGCAAGCGUUAUCCGGAUUUACUGGGUGUAAAGGGGGCGCAGACGGCGAUGCAAGCCAGGAGUGAAAGCCCGGGGCCCACCCCCGGGACUGCUCUUGGACCUGCGUGGCUGGUGUGCAGGAGGG